This 352-nucleotide unclassified non-coding RNA is filed under the name soil metagenome. RNAcentral's name for it is "partial contains 5.8S ribosomal RNA, internal transcribed spacer 2, and large subunit ribosomal RNA". The stretch from base 1 to 120 matches the Rfam family "5.8S ribosomal RNA", at positions 35 to 154 of the family's 154-position model. The record is from RNAcentral.
GAUGAAGAACGCAGCGAAAUGCGAUAAGUAAUGUGAAUUGCAGAAUUCAGUGAAUCAUCGAAUCUUUGAACGCACAUUGCGCCCGCCAGUAUUCUGGCGGGCAUGCCUGUUCGAGCGUCAUUACAACCCUCAGGCCCCCGGGCCUGGCGUUGGGGAUCGGCGGAGCCCCCCGUGGGCACACGCCGUCCCCCAAAUGCAGUGGCGGUCCCGCCGCAGCUUCCAUCGCGUAGUAGCUAACACCUCGCGACUGGAGAGCGGCGCGGCCACGCCGUAAAACACCCAACUCUUAUGAAGUUGACCUCGAAUCAGGUAGGAAUACCCGCUGAACUUAAGCAUAUCAAUAAGCGGAGGA